GCCGACGGGUGGGGUGGGAUGGGAUGGCGGCAGUGCCGGUCGCUCUACCGCUGCGGGCAGAAGGGCUGCGGCCCGGCGCUGGGCCGCUGUCACGGCUCUGUCACGUUGUGGUGUGCCCAGGGGGGAGCGGGGAAAAGGGCUCUGCCCGCUCCCCAGGCGGGCGGGAGGGUCGAGGGUAGGAUGGAGGCGAGCUGGGACCGGCUCGGCCACGCUGAUGUAAAAUGGCUGCCCUGAGGGCACAGGGAGCUGAAUUCAGGCCUAGGUCCACUGCUCGGCCAUGCGAGCAUCCUGCUUACGUAUCCCCUUCAGCAGAGCAUUAAAGUUAAGGUUAGGGCUGUUGAGUAUUGGUUGUUUUUUUUUCCCCUAACGCUGUGCUGUCCCAUUUCUGAUUGCUGUGUUGUGGUUCUUGGGGGGGCUCUUGCAUCAGACUGAUCUCAUGGUCUGCUCUGGAAGGACACUCAAAUUUACUUCGCAAGGCAGAGCACGAUGACUUUGGGCAGAACAAACCUUAAGAAUGUACUUGACUUAAUUUUCUGUCUUCGUAAGUUAAUAAGAGGAACAAAAAAGCAUUUGAGGCUGAGGCAAAGUCACAUCUCAAGUGGACGUGUUUAUGAAAACAUCGUCUCCUGAGGGCUAUGUGCUCCUGCAGAAGCGCAUGCUUUAUGGUGCGUCUUCAGAGGUUUAAUGUAGAGUUACAUGAGAAAUGUGUACAAAAGAGGGCAGAAAAGGAUUUCCUGGGGAAGAAGCAAGAAAGUGGCGUACAACCAUGUUCAGAAAUUAUAAUUUAAAUAAAGUCAGUUUGAAACACCAGUGUAGUCGUCUAGUUUGUCACAAAACCCUAGAAGAUGUGUUAAGGCAGUAAAUGUAACUUCAGAUGAACAAAGCGCUUUAGUGUGCCCCAAACCCUUGGAGCACAGCAGCUCUGCCCUGGCGCGUCCUGCCUCAUCCUAACCCAACGCGACUCGUGCCUCGCUGCUUGGAGUUCAGGUCGCAAAUUGCUUUUGAAGUGGGAUUUUUUUCGUAUGAUCCACAAGAUAGAACAGAUGUGGGAGGGAUACUUCUAAAAAUGUUGGAAAUAGUUGUACUUUUGCAAUCUGAAUCUCUCUCAUUUAUCCCUUGUUAUCUUUUGUAUCAGCACAAGCGAGUCCAAGUGGUGCCAGAAAGGUUAAGUCACUGUAACCACCAUGAUGGGGUUAAAGUAUCUAAGUGUGUAGAAAACCCUUUAGGCUCCUGAGUUAAUUAAGGGAUUUUGAAAAAUGUGUCAUGCCUCUAGUAGAGUCUGUCAUGCAUACUUCAUUUUUCAUGUGUUAAUUAAAAAUGCAUAUUCCUCUAGAAAAACAGCAAUCCCGGUGACUUACAGUUAGAAAAAUAUUUUCAGUAUAACAUCAUAACAUGUCUGACUGUUACAAAUGCCUUUCAUUUUUCUCUCAUGUAGGUUAAAGUACAGUACCGUGCUCUGCUCCAGUGAUUUUUAACAUUGGUAAUAUCUAUGUUAGAUUGCUAGUGGUUUAAGUAAAGACUGCUAUUAAUCACUGAAAGAUGUUAUGAGAAAGCCAAUCUUCAGAAGUGGUGGUUUGCAAAGUAUAAACUACUGAGUAUCUAGGGAUUUUCUACAUCUUUAAGAGAGUAUGAUGGUUUCACAAGUCUGUCUGUAGCGGAACACAAACUGGCGAGACGGCGACUGCAGUGCGUGCCCCUGUGGUUCCAGCGUUGAUCUACAUGACUUCAGUGCAUGCUUUGGGACCUCUUCCCAUGGUGUUAAAAUCCACUCUCGCUUUUUGCAGAGAACCAUCCCGAUGCCGCAGAACAGCUACACCAUUACAGCUGUUAAGCACAAUGUGCUCAGCAGAGCCGUGAUCGUACGGUGCCCCUGGAGCAGACUGCUGAGGUCUUCACGGGACCCUCCGGCGCAGCCUGGACCUGUUCCUGCAGCCGCAGCAGCGCAGGACCACGAGCCACCUCAUCACCCUGGGCUGGUCUCCAGCAACCUGCCGGGCUGGCUGAAGGGCCACAAGGAAGCAGAAUCUAGUUAAAUAGUAUGUGGUUAUUUGUCUUGCUGGUAGCAAUUAAAUGUUAAUUUAAAAAAAAAAUUAAAAAAAUCAGGGGUUUUGA
Long non-coding RNA from Aquila chrysaetos chrysaetos, 2112 nucleotides. RefSeq lists it as uncharacterized. The transcript has 3 exons. NCBI's taxonomy places the organism in Eukaryota, Metazoa, Chordata, Aves, Accipitriformes, Accipitridae. The record is from RefSeq and is a predicted model, not a curated record.